Molecule: ribosomal RNA, 1381 nt
Filed under: uncultured bacterium
Lineage: Bacteria
Description: 16S ribosomal RNA
Rfam family: Bacterial small subunit ribosomal RNA
Source: RNAcentral
AGAGUUUGAUCCUGGCUCAGGAUAAACGCUGGCGGCGCACAUAAGACAUGCAAGUCGAACGAACUUAACCCUUUGUUUACAUUGGGAGCGGUUAGUGGCGGACUGGUGAGUAACACGUAAGCAACCUGCCUAUUAGAGGGGAAUAACAGUGAGAAAUCAUUGCUAAUACCGCAUAUGCUCACAGUAUCACAUGAUACAGUGAGGAAAGGAGCAAUCCGCUAAUAGAUGGGCUUGCGUCUGAUUAGCUAGUUGGUGGGGUAACGGCCUACCAAGGCGACGAUCAGUAGCCGGACUGAGAGGUUGAACGGCCACAUUGGGACUGAGAUACGGCCCAGACUCCUACGGGAGGCAGCAGUCGGGAAUAUUGCGCAAUGGAGGAAACUCUGACGCAGUGACGCCGCGUAUAGGAAGAAGGUUUUCGGAUUGUAAACUAUUGUCGUUAGGGAAGAUAAAAGACAGUACCUAAGGAGGAAGCUCCGGCUAACUAUGUGCCAGCAGCCGCGGUAAUACAUAGGGAGCAAGCGUUAUCCGGAAUUAUUGGGUGUAAAGGGUGCGUAGACGGAGGAACAAGUUAGUUGUGAAAUCCCUCGGCUUAACUGAGGAACUGCAACUAAAACUAUUCCCCUUGAGUGUCGGAGAGGAAAGUGGAAUUCCUAGUGUAGCGGUGAAAUGCGUAGAUAUUAGGAGGAACACCAGUGGCGAAGGCGACUUUCUGGACGAUAACUGACGUUGAGGCACGAAAGUGUGGGGAGCAAACAGGAUUAGAUACCCUGGUAGUCCACACUGUAAACGAUGGAUACUAGGUGUAGGGUGUAUUAAGCACUCUGUGCCGCCGCAAACGCAUUAAGUAUCCCACCUGGGGAGUACGACCGCAAGGUUGAAACUCAAAGGAAUUGACGGGGGCCCGCACAAGCAGUGGAGUAUGUGGUUUAAUUCGAAGCAACGCGAAGAACCUUACCAGGGCUUGACAUAUACCGGAAUAUACUAGAGAUAGUAUAGUCCUUCGGGACUGGUAUACAGGUGGUGCAUGGUUGUCGUCAGCUCGUGUCGUGAGAUGUUGGGUUAAGUCCCGCAACGAGCGCAACCCCUAUCGUUAGUUGCUAGCAGGUAAAGCUGAGAACUCUAGCGAGACUGCCGGUGAUAAAUCGGAGGAAGGUGGGGAUGACGUCAAAUCAUCAUGCCCUUUAUGUCCUGGGCUACACACGUACUACAAUGGCCGCAACAGAGGGAAGCGAAAUAGUGAUAUGGAGCAAAACCCGAAAAACGGUCUCAGUUCGGAUUGAAGGCUGAAAUUCGCCUUCAUGAAGCUGGAAUUGCUAGUAAUGGCAGGUCAGCAUACUGCCGUGAAUACGUUCCCGGGCCCUGCACUCACCGCCCGUCA